GCAGUCGUGGCUGAGUGGUCAGGCGAACGCAUGAUAAAUGCGAUACAUGGGUUCGAAUCCCACCGACUGACA
This is a non-coding RNA of Nephila pilipes (giant wood spider), 72 nucleotides long. NCBI's taxonomy places the organism in Eukaryota, Metazoa, Arthropoda, Arachnida, Araneae, Nephilidae. The record is from the annotation of a GenBank genome assembly.